Molecule: long non-coding RNA, 1206 nt
Filed under: Canis lupus familiaris (dog)
Lineage: Eukaryota; Metazoa; Chordata; Mammalia; Carnivora; Canidae
Description: lncRNA (ENSCAFG00030001291.1)
Source: RNAcentral
AACACUACUUAGCAUUUGCAUAGAACCUUAUACUUUCAAAGAACUCAACGAUUAUUAAUUGGUUAAUCCUCUCAGGAGCUGUGUGAGGUAGGCCAGCCUGACCCUUUCUUUUUACAGACCCAGAGGUUAAGUGGCUUGCCCAAAGACCCAGACAUUCCAGUUACACUUGAACUUGGAGGUUGAUUUCUAAUGUUUCCUGCUGACCACAGAAGUCAGCGGUUCAAUAUCAGUAGAUUAAAAUACAGUAGACAAGAACAGAUCGAAGUAGGUUUUUAGCUGCUCGGUGACGAAACAGUAAAUAGCUAAAGUUGACUUUUUGCUUUUAUCUGUCUCGGAGCUUUUCUAAGGAAAUCACAAUUUAUUUUAUAAAAUUAUAGUAAUUUUAAAACAAUUAGAAAAUUAAACUGGGUUCUUGGUAGAAAGGUCAAUGUGAGGAAGAGAAUGACCCACUUCCUCUUUAAUAAUUGAGUUAACUGAAAUUUGGACUAGUUUGUCAGGAGCACUGUUGGCCUUGUUCACAAAGUUUCUGACAGUCGCCUCCCAUCAAGAAACAAGCCUACGGGGAAAAGAGGAGAGGGGGCUGCUACCCACUCAUUAGCACGCGCCGUGGUUUGGAUGGGACCGCUCUCCUGUGUGCACGGUGACCUCCCUGCCCGUGAGUUUGCUGGAGGCUCUACCUCCUGUGCCGUCUAGACCUCUGCCUUCUCUCUGAAUGCUUUUCCUCCUGUUGGUAAAAGCCAAGACUUCAGUUUCAAUUUUUUAACUUUUAGAAAAAUAUGUUGAUCUGAGGCAUUUCUCAGUCAUACGGCUUCUUGCAGCUUGUUUUGGUGUUUUUUGUUUUGUUUUGUUUUUUGGUGGGCGUGGGGCAGAGAACUCAAUGAAUUCUUUCUUCAACUAACUGCCUUUCUGCAUAUCAGGUGGGCAUCACCAGUUUUUGAAAGCGAAAAUUUUGGUUUUCUCUUUUUCUCCUACAAAGUCUGGUUCUCGGGAAUUUGCACGAGAGGUGAGAGGAGAUUCACUCUGGCCUCGCCUGAGUGUUUGGACUCCGUGUCCAUGGGAUAUGGGCCAGACUCUCCUCAGGAGCUGUUUCUGGGGAGGGACCAGCUCCCUUAGAGACAUGAGUUUACUGGAACCAACAAAAGGCCUUUGGGUAUGUCUGCUGGGGAACACGGAGUUUAAACUGACCCCAUGGCCACAGGCUCAGAG